GCCUCGAUGAGUAGGAGGG
Molecule: small RNA, 19 nt
Filed under: Arabidopsis thaliana (thale cress)
Lineage: Eukaryota; Viridiplantae; Streptophyta; Magnoliopsida; Brassicales; Brassicaceae
Description: snRNA_07145
Source: RNAcentral